GGGUUUGUGGCUCAGGUGGCAGAGCACCUGCCUAGCAAGCAUGGGCUCUGGGAUCAAACCCCAGUACCUUCC
RNAcentral lists this transfer RNA (72 nucleotides) under Dipodomys ordii (Ord's kangaroo rat). It matches the Rfam family "tRNA". Rfam says of the family: Transfer RNA (tRNA) molecules are approximately 80 nucleotides in length. Their secondary structure includes four short double-helical elements and three loops (D, anti-codon, and T loops). Lineage: Eukaryota; Metazoa; Chordata; Mammalia; Rodentia; Heteromyidae. The record is from Rfam by way of RNAcentral.